Molecule: ribosomal RNA, 549 nt
Filed under: uncultured Glomus
Lineage: Eukaryota; Fungi; Glomeromycota; Glomeromycetes; Glomerales; Glomeraceae
Description: SSU rRNA
Rfam family: Eukaryotic small subunit ribosomal RNA
Source: RNAcentral
UUGGAGGGCAAGUCUGGUGCCAGCAGCCGCGGUAAUUCCAGCUCCAAUAGCGUAUAUUAAAGUUGUUGCAGUUAAAAAGCUCGUAGUUGAACUUCGGGACCUGUGGGUUGGUCGUGCCUCCGGUACGUACUGGCUCUACCGGUUCCUCCCUUCUGAAGAACCACGAUGUCAUUAAUUUGGUGUCGUGGGGAAUCAGGACUGUUACUUUGAAAAAAUUAGAGUGUUUAAAGCAGGCUAAAGCUUGAAUAGAUUAGCAUGGAAUAACGAAAUAGGACGUUUGAUCUUAUUUUGUUGGUUUCUAAGAUCGACGUAAUGAUUAAUAGGGAUAGUUGGGGGCAUUAGUAUUCAAUUGUCAGAGGUGAAAUUCUUGGAUUUAUUGAAGACUAACUACUGCGAAAGCAUUUGCCAAGGAUGUUUUCAUUAAUCAAGAACGAAAGUUAGGGGAUCGAAGACGAUCAGAUACCGUCGUAGUCUUAACCAUAAACUAUGCCGACUAGGGAUCGGAUGAUGUUAAUUUUUUAAUGACUCAUUCGGCGCCUUACGGGAAAC